CGCAGUCGUUUCCCCCUCCCUCCCAGCAAAAUCCCCAUUCCCUCCUAACUUAGAACAAAAAAAACCCCAAUCACUUCGCGUUACAGCCCCAUUCUCACCAUUUUCCUUCGACCUCCUCCCAACCCCCUCCAUCGUACGUCGUUUCCCUUCCUCCCAGCCCCUACCAUUGUCGUUCACCUUCCUCCCAUCCCCUGCUUCGUCACAGCCCCCAAGAUCGAUGAAAGCAGAAACCCUAGCGUCGCCGAGCUCCUCUGUCGCGUCUCACCGUGAGCUUCCUGUUACCGCGAGGAAGAAGAGUAGGUGUCGCGCUCCUUAUUACAGAGAUUUUGUUGUGAAUGCGACGUUGAUGUCUCAGGAAGGACUAAAGAUUCAGGUGGGAGCGUCGCUGGCGCGAGGAGGAAGCGGGAACGCUAUCGUGAAUGGGAUAGAGAUCUUGAAGAUAAGUAACUCUUUGAUGGGUUGAUUGUCAUUGAGACAAUCAAAGUGCUGCAGAACGACAUUAAAAGUUACAGGAAGACAAGAUGUGAUGAAGAAAAUAUGUUCCAUACAAAUAUCACAUGAGAUGGGUCUUACCACCUUAGUUAUGUAAAUGUAAUAUUUUGAUGUGUUAUGUACUUUUUGAGGUAUUACAUGUAAUUGAAAAAAUUUUACUCUAUUUUGAUUUGUGUUGUUUAGACUAAAAAUUAAACAUAUCUAUCUUAUAAUGAAACUUUUAUGAUUUAGAUUU
Molecule: long non-coding RNA, 727 nt
Organism: Arachis ipaensis
Lineage: Eukaryota; Viridiplantae; Streptophyta; Magnoliopsida; Fabales; Fabaceae
Source: RefSeq, a predicted model, not a curated record